This 442-nucleotide ribosomal RNA is filed under the name uncultured bacterium. Its description in RNAcentral is "partial 16S ribosomal RNA". It matches the Rfam family "Bacterial small subunit ribosomal RNA", at positions 338 to 795 of the family's 1533-position model. The record is from RNAcentral.
CCUACGGGUGGCAGCAGUGGGGAAUAUUGGGCAAUGGGCGCAAGCCUGACCCAGCAACGCCGCGUGAAGGAAGAAGGCUUUAGGGUUGUAAACUUCUUUUGUCAGGGAAGAGUAGAAGACGGUACCUGACGAAUAAGACACGGCUAACUACGUGCGAGCAGCAGCGGUAGUACGUAGGUGGCAAGCGUUGUCCGGAUUUACUGGGUGUAACGGGCGUGUAGCCGGGUUGACAAGUCAGAUGUGAAAUCCUGCGGCUUAACCGCAGAACUGCAUUUGAUACUGUUGAUCUUGAGUACUGGAGAGGCAGACGGAAUUCGUGGUGUAGCGGUGAAAUGCGUAGAUAUUAGGAGGAACACCAGUGGCGAAGGCGGUCUGCUGGACAGCAACUGACGGUGAGGCGCGAAAGCGUGGGGAGCAAACAGGAUUAGAUACCCCGGUAGUC